Molecule: ribosomal RNA, 1372 nt
Filed under: uncultured bacterium
Lineage: Bacteria
Description: bacterial SSU rRNA
Rfam family: Bacterial small subunit ribosomal RNA
Source: RNAcentral
GAUGAACGCUGGCGGCGUGCCUAAUACAUGCAAGUCGAGCGAACGGACGAGAAGCUUGCUUCUCUGAUGUUAGCGGCGGACAGGUGAGUAACACGUGGAUAACCUACCUAUAAGACUGGGAUAACUUCGGGAAACCGGAGCUAAUACCGGAUAAUAUUUUGAACCGCAUGGUUCAAAAGUGAAAGACGGUCUUGCUGUCACUUAUAGAUGGAUCCGCGCUGCAUUAGCUAGUUGGUAAGGUAACGGCUUACCAAGGCAACGAUGCAUAGCCGACCUGAGAGGGUGAUCGGCCACACUGGAACUGAGACACGGUCCAGACUCCUACGGGAGGCAGCAGUAGGGAAUCUUCCGCAAUGGGCGAAAGCCUGACGGAGCAACGCCGCGUGAGUGAUGAAGGUCUUCGGAUCGUAAAACUCUGUUAUUAGGGAAGAACAUAUGUGUAAGUAACUGUGCACAUCUUGACGGUACCUAAUCAGAAAGCCACGGCUAACUACGUGCCAGCAGCCGCGGUAAUACGUAGGUGGCAAGCGUUAUCCGGAAUUAUUGGGCGUAAAGCGCGCGUAGGCGGUUUUUUAAGUCUGAUGUGAAAGCCCACGGCUCAACCGUGGAGGGUCAUUGGAAACUGGAAAACUUGAGUGCAGAAGAGGAAAGUGGAAUUCCAUGUGUAGCGGUGAAAUGCGCAGAGAUAUGGAGGAACACCAGUGGCGAAGGCGACUUUCUGGUCUGUAACUGACGCUGAUGUGCGAAAGCGUGGGGAUCAAACAGGAUUAGAUACCCUGGUAGUCCACGCCGUAAACGAUGAGUGCUAAGUGUUAGGGGGUUUCCGCCCCUUAGUGCUGCAGCUAACGCAUUAAGCACUCCGCCUGGGGAGUACGACCGCAAGGUUGAAACUCAAAGGAAUUGACGGGGACCCGCACAAGCGGUGGAGCAUGUGGUUUAAUUCGAAGCAACGCGAAGAACCUUACCAAAUCUUGACAUCCUUUGACAACUCUAGAGAUAGAGCCUUCCCCUUCGGGGGACAAGGUGACAGGUGGUGCAUGGUUGUCGUCAGCUCGUGUCGUGAGAUGUUGGGUUAAGUCCCGCAACGAGCGCAACCCUUAAGCUUAGUUGCCAUCAUUAAGUUGGGCACUCUAAGUUGACUGCCGGUGACAAACCGGAGGAAGGUGGGGAUGACGUCAAAUCAUCAUGCCCCUUAUGAUUUGGGCUACACACGUGCUACAAUGGACAAUACAAAGGGCAGCGAAACCGCGAGGUCAAGCAAAUCCCAUAAAGUUGUUCUCAGUUCGGAUUGUAGUCUGCAACUCGACUACAUGAAGCUGGAAUCGCUAGUAAUCGUAGAUCAGCAUGCUACGGUGAAUACGUUCCCGGGUCU